CUGGCUCAGGAUGAACGCUAGCGACAGGCUUAACACAUGCAAGUCGAGGGGCAGCGGUGGUGAAGGCUUGCCUUUACCAGCCGGCGACCGGCGCACGGGUGAGUAACACGUAUGCAACCUGCCUGCCACAGCCGGAUAAUCGGGAGAAAUUCCGUCUAAUACGGCAUAAUGCAUCGACGGGACAUCCUGUUGGUGCCAAAGGUUGAUUCCGGUGGCGGAUGGGCAUGCGUCGCAUUAGUUAGUUGGCGGUGUAACGGACCACCAAGACGACGAUGCGUAGGGGUUCUGAGAGGAAGGUCCCCCACACUGGUACUGAGACACGGACCAGACUCCUACGGGAGGCAGCAGUGAGGAAUAUUGGUCAAUGGGCGGGAGCCUGAACCAGCCAAGUCGCGUGAGGGAUGACGGUCCUAUGGGUUGUAAACCUCUUUUGCCGGGGAGCAAAGUGCCGCACGUGUGCGGUUUGGAGAGUACCCGGAGAAAAAGCAUCGGCUAACUCCGUGCCAGCAGCCGCGGUAAUACGGAGGAUGCGAGCGUUAUCCGGAUUUAUUGGGUUUAAAGGGUGCGUAGGCGGACGCUUAAGUCAGCGGUAAAAUUGCGGGGCUCAACCUCGUCGAGCCGUUGAAACUGGGUGCCUUGAGUGGGCGAGAAGUACGCGGAAUGCGUGGUGUAGCGGUGAAAUGCAUAGAUAUCACGCAGAACUCCGGUUGCGAAGGCAGCGUACCGGCGCCCUACUGACGCUGAAGCACGAAGGCGUGGGUAUCGAACAGGAUUAGAUACCCUGGUAGUCCACGCAGUAAACGAUGAAUGCUAGUUGUCCGGGGCGAUUGAGUUCUGGGUGACACAGCGAAAGCGUUAAGCAUUCCACCUGGGGAGUACGCCGGCAACGGUGAAACUCAAAGGAAUUGACGGGGGCCUGCACAAGCGGAGGAACAUGUGGUUUAAUUCGAUGAUACGCGAGGAACCUUUCCCGGGCUCAAACGCAGGAGGGAUGUUUUUGAAAGGAGGCAGCCAGCAAUGGUCUCCUGCGAGGUGCUGCAUGGUUGUCGUCAGCUCGUGCCGUGAGGUGUCGGCUUAAGUGCCAUAACGAGCGCAACCCCUACCUACAGUUGCCAUCGCGUGAUGGCGGGCACUCUGUGGGGACUGCCUGUGCAAGCAGUGAGGAAGGCGGGGAUGACGUCAAAUCAGCACGGCCCUUACGUCCGGGGCGACACACGUGUUACAAUGGCAGGUACAGCGGGAAGCCACCCGGCGACGGGGCGCGGAACCCGAAAACCUGUCUCAGUUCGGAUUGGAGUCUGCAACCCGACUCCAUGAAGCUGGAUUCGCUAGUAAUCGCGCAUCAGCCACGGCGCGGUGAAUACGUUCCCGGGCCUUGUACACACCGCCCGUCAAGCCAUGGAAGCACGGGGGUGCCUGAAGUGCGUGACCGCAAGGAGCGCCCUAGGGUAAAACCGGUGACUGGGGAUAAGUCGUAACAAGGU
This 1484-nucleotide ribosomal RNA is filed under the name uncultured bacterium. Its description in RNAcentral is "bacterial SSU rRNA". It matches the Rfam family "Bacterial small subunit ribosomal RNA". The record is from RNAcentral.